Small nuclear RNA from Mesoplodon densirostris (Blainville's beaked whale), 107 nucleotides. Lineage: Eukaryota; Metazoa; Chordata; Mammalia; Artiodactyla; Ziphiidae. The record is from RefSeq and is a predicted model, not a curated record.
GUGCUGUCUUCAGCAGCACAUAUACUAAAAUUGGAACAAUGCAGAGCAGAUGAGCAUGGCCCCUGCACAAGGAUGAGACACAAAUUUGUGAAGUGUUAAAAAAAAAA